Long non-coding RNA from Monodelphis domestica (gray short-tailed opossum), 2862 nucleotides. RefSeq lists it as uncharacterized. Lineage: Eukaryota; Metazoa; Chordata; Mammalia; Didelphimorphia; Didelphidae. The record is from RefSeq and is a predicted model, not a curated record.
GGCAGUUAUAGAAACCAAUGUUCCGUGCCUUGAUUCAGGUGGCAAGCAUUAAAUCUUUUUCCUGCUGUCAUGCAACAACAACUUUAAUACAAAUUAGCGCUGCCAACCUCAGUUUCCUGAGCUCAGAAGUCCUUGAUGCUACUCCCUGAAUUUUAUUCAGACUUUCACAUGGCUUGUGCUCCUCUGAAAUUGUAGCAUCAGACAAGAAACAAAAUCAAAAUGAAAAUACAAUUUAAUUGCUCCAGACUUGGUAGUAUAAUUUACUACCUAUUACCUCCCCGAAAAAUUAAUGGAAUUACAACUACUUCUUAACCUGGAUUCCAAACAAUUUUAAGGUUUAUACUCUACUUUGCUGGGACAAAGGAAAAGUUUCUGGAGGAGAAGAAGAGUUUACUGCCAGAGCACUGGAUUGGUAAUAAGAAAUCUUGGCUUUGUCUUUUACUAAGCUGAUAAUCGGAACAAAUGAUCUCUUUGGGCCUCAGAAACCCUCAUUCCAAAGGCAGUGCAGUGCAAUGGAUAAAGAACCGACCUCAAAACUAUGACAACUUGGAAGAAGAUUGUACACAAUGACUGCAAUACUGGAUGAUGACUAUCUGUGAAAACUUGGCUACUCUCAGCAAUGCAAUGAUCUGGUUUAAUUCGGAAAGACUUAAGACAGCAAAUGCUAUCCACCUCCAGAGAAAGGGCUGCUGGAAUCGUCUUUCCCAUCACUGUGUCUUUGGCUUUAUUUGGGGUUUGGGUUAAGGAUGCGUGUGCUCUUACAGCAAUGACUACUAUGGAACUGAGUUUUGCAUGGAAAUUAAAAAAAGGAAAUAAACUAUGACAGCUUGGCUUUAGGUCUUUCUACCUUUGACAAGUCACUUACAAGCUCACUAUUCUGCUCAGUUCUCUAAGACCACAGUGGCAAAGCACAUUGGUAGAAGGAAUUUCUUCAUCCUGAAAUACUUUAUAAUACAGGUACUGGAACUACUACUUCAUUCCAACUCUAAUUCACUUUCCUGGGAACCAAAUGGCACUCAACAUACUAUACAAGGAGACAAAGGUUUUUUUUUUUAUUUUUAAUAUGCUCUCUAUUUCCCUCUCUACAUUUUUUUCCUACAUCCUACAGAUGAUAUGUCUUCUCAAUGGCAAUUAGUACUUUCCUGCUACCUUUUGCUCCUGAGACAUUCCAUUCUGAACCAAACACAUGCCUUCAAGUGAUUUACAUUCCAAACUGGCCUUAUCAUCCUUUCCCCAACCAUCAAAAACUCCCAUUAUUCUUCCCCAACUAGGGCACAGGAAUCAUGACUUCAAGGCAAAAGGAAUGUUAGCAUCAUCUGUAGCUGGUAUGCCUACCACAAACACCUAAGAUGUUAGGAGUAAAAGCAAUGGGAUUUAAUUAGUUUAUAUGAAAAUAUGAUGGACAGAUGGCCAAAUAACCUUCUUUGCAAUAUUUGCAUUUUUUAAAAAUAGGAUUCACAUUAAUUCAAAUUACUUAACAAUUAGAGUAAAACGUGUUUCAUGCAGUGUGGGGCAACAUUUUUGGAAGAGAACAGUCAGGUAAAUCCUAUGGGGAAGUUUACCCUUGGAAUCAGUUUCUGAACUGCUUCAUAUUUUACACAAUUUCUUUGCUUCUUCUACUCCUGAAACCACAGAUUCCCUAAAAACUACAAGACUUUGAGUGUUUGUUUUCUUGUUUCUUUUCUUCCCAUAAUAGCAGUGGUAGCUGGGCUCUGCUUGUCUGGGGGGAGUAGAACUGACAAGGAGGAGGUUGUUUGUAUGUGUGAGUCAUGGGUCAUUUGUAAGUCAGGGACUGUCUGUACUCAGAGGCCUAAUGCCUUUAAUGAAGGCAAAACAUUUUACUUAAAACAAACAAGGAACUGGCACUAAAGAAAGUAACCUGCUUGAUUUGACUGUACUUUCACAAUGGGCAGAUCAAUCCAUACGGGUAUAUAUCCUGGGUAUGUGUGUACCUGAGUUUUUAAUAAGUUUUUUUAAGUUUUUAAUCAUAUAAAAAUUGGAAAAAAUUGUUCAGCAAAGUGCAUAUACUAUGAAGUUUUGUGGCUAUUCAUUGUUCAUUUUUAAUCUGCCUUUUACUGAUCCACCUUAGAAGAUGUCCUGCAAAAUACAAACCAGAGAGCCAAUGUGGAAAAGCCAAAAUUUUGUUUUUGCCAUUUUCCUGGAAUUGGGUUAUAUUUGUUUUUCCUAAUAAGUAUUUAUUUAAAAUAAAUUCCAACAUGUAUCGAGAGGGAGGCAUUUUUUACUGUUGCUUUUCCUUGAGGGUUUAAUAUUUUGGGUUUUGUUUGGAAGGAAGGUAGAGCAUAGAGAAGAAGCCCUGGUCCUGGUUAUAAUUUCUCUUCUUUGCUUUAUAGAAAAAUGGCUAAAACUUUCAUUUUUAAAAUGUAAAUGAAAAGACUCCAGAUAUAGGAGGUAACUGAAAGGGAUAUAGUAUUUUAGGCUUCUGUUCAUGAAAACUAAUGAAAAUGAAGAAUAUGAGGGAAAUGGAAGAGCUGAAGGAAGUGAGAAGAAAUUUUGUAAUGGAUAAAAUCCUCAGGCCUCUUGGCUUUCUCCAAAAACUAUGAGUUUCUGGAAAAGAAUCUGGGGCUUGGGCUUCAUUAUGCCAACACAACCAGUGGAAAAGUUUAAAAAGUCAGUCAUUUAACUGGUUGUUGUGGAAUGUCAUUUCUUACAUAAUCUUUUUUGUAAAAUACUUUUCAACACAAAUUUUUUUUCUAAAAAUUGUUAUUCUUUCACAGAAUAAUCCAUUUGCUUAUUCAUCCUCCAUUUUAUUUUGAGUAUCUUGAGCUCUGAUUAUGUAAAAAAAAACACUUUGCAAAGACCUUUUUUGCUAACCCACUUCCUUUAACACUUCUAUUUUUUUUG